Non-coding RNA from Macaca mulatta (Rhesus monkey), 2108 nucleotides. NCBI's taxonomy places the organism in Eukaryota, Metazoa, Chordata, Mammalia, Primates, Cercopithecidae. The record is from RefSeq and is a predicted model, not a curated record.
GCGCAGUAGGGUCCGCACAGGCCGAGUGGGAUCCGAGGUCUCUAUCGCAACCACGCCCUUGAGCGCUGAGGCUUCGGGAAGAGAACAGCUGCAGCUGUCAGGGCAGGCCCGGCUCUGCAGACUGGAGGGCGACCGGGUGGCUGGGAUAGGCCCGGGAGGGGCUGGGAUCGGUGGCUGCGAUGCCCUGUAGAGCCGAGGGAAGGCGCGAGUGCACGUUAGAGUGAUAAUAUUGGCCGGACUGAGCCCCAAUCGGGGAGCUCACGGCCACCUGAACUCGCUGACGUGUGGGAGAGGAAAGGAUCCCGAGAAUCCGGAAGCCUAGAUUCCUGCCGGAGCUGCAAGUGCUGCGGAAAUGGGGGAAGAAGGUUCCUGGGCGCUUUAAACAAAUGGCUGCCUCCCAGCGCUCUGAGUUAAGGGACCGGCUACCUAGCGUCUAGCUAAGGAGGAAGACGCACAGUUGGAGAACUGCUGUCUUUGUAGUUGCUUCUCCCGCCGCAUCCAGGAAAGACAGGCGCUUUCCUGGGGCUGGUUAGAACAAACAAAGCCCCAAUUCCCGAGCCCUGUGGAGGCUCGGACAGAGAGGUUUGCGCACAAUCCGCACUUCUGCGCAAUCAGCGCCUCCUGAGCCCGGGUCUCCGGCACCACCCGGUUGCUGGAUUCCCACCCUACAGGAGCACAAUUAGUACACUGAACCCUCUGGAAGGUGUUGGCACCUGCCAUUUAGCGGAACACCGGCACCAUUUUAUAAAACAGUGAGAGAAAGAUGCGGAAUAAAUCAGUGUUCCUAUUUGCCCCUCGUUUUAUCUCCUCUGAUUCCUGCCAGCAUUUGCAAACCCAAACUUUCUUCCUUCUCUUUCAAAAAAAAAAAAAAAAAAACCUUACAAAAAAAACCGUACAAUUCAGGGCCUGCAAAAGAAACCAAGGUUAGUUUGAGAAAACAGAGGUGAAAUGGAAUUUGAGGUUGGUGCCCCUCCCCAACAACCCCUUCCCGCCCCCGCGCCACAAAAAUCCCGCCAAACGCUUAUCCGAUCUCGUGAGCGCCUCGCUGGACAUUCACGUAAAACAAAAACAAUUAUUUCGCUCCAGACGAGGAGCAGAGGAGAAAACAGCAGUGCAAUGAAUGAUACCGGCAGCCGGGAAGUUCGCAGGCCCCUUGGAGGCCAGGUGAGGCUGCGCCCCAGCUUGCUCCGGAGCUGCAGGAGGCGCCCUGGUCUCCGCGCUUGACAUCACCCCCGCCCCCCGCCAACUCCCGGCCUCCAGUCCUUCCCCCUCCCUCCAGCUCCCUGCACCGCGCCCUGGGUGGGUGGGUGAAUGUGAAGAGGCAGCGUUGGGCUAGGCCCCUGCAGCCCGCUCGGAGCGUCCUAGGCCUGGGGCUGAGCUGUGAGAGACCCAGAUUGUCAUCCCAGAGGCUCCGCAGCCCGGAAAGGCCUCCUCUCCGACCCUGCGCCGGGUCCGCGGGACAAAGUUCGGAAGCUCGGGGCAGCUGGGCCAGCGCCAUUUUCUCGCACUUGUGGCUGGAUCUGGUUGUCCCGGCGACUGCGCCCCGGCGCGGUCUCUUCUCCUCUACCUCGGAUCCCCAGCACUGACUCGCCCUCAGAGGCCGGGGAAGGUGUGACGAGCUCCCGGCCCCGGCCGAGGGGUCCCAGGAGAGAAGCUGGGUGGCGGUGGCCAGGCAGACCGCGGUAGCUGGCCCUCGCCUCCCUCCUCGAGGCACCAUUGUUCCGGGAUCGCUGUGACCGCCGCAAAGUGAAUGCUUUCGGUGCGGACAGUCGCCUUCAAAGCCAGGCCCGGGAUUCAGACUUCAAACAGUGGGCCGGCAAAGAGCUGUAAAAGUUUGUUUGUUUUAAAAAACAACAACUCUGCCAUUAAAGAUGAGUUCCUUCUCCAGCUCAGGACUGCGAAUCUACCUUCCGGGUGUCCGCCGCCAGCUCCCGGAGUAGCAGGCCUGGGACCAGGAUUCGAGAGUGACCUACCGCCCCUUCCCGGAGCUAAAACUUCGGGUGAGGGGGUGAGAUCCUUGCGACAUUGUGGGAAACCCUGAAAAGAGCUCAGGGAAACUGUACACUUCCAGACACGCUUUAGAAAUAAAGUGCCAGGUUCCAAGUGGA